RNAcentral lists this ribosomal RNA (327 nucleotides) under uncultured Acidobacteriota bacterium. Its description in RNAcentral is "bacterial SSU rRNA". It matches the Rfam family "Bacterial small subunit ribosomal RNA", at positions 32 to 351 of the family's 1533-position model. Lineage: Bacteria; Pseudomonadati; Acidobacteriota. The record is from RNAcentral.
AAUCAACGCUGGCGGCGUGCCUAACACAUGCAAGUCGAACGAGAAAGUGGGGGCAACCCCAUGAGUACAGUGGCAGACGGGUGAGUAACACGUGAACAACCUACCCUCGAGUGUGGAAUAACACCGCGAAAGCGGUGCUAAUACCGCAUAAUAUUUUCGGGUCGCAUGACCUGAAGAUCAAAAGCGCAAGUUGCUUGAGGAGGGGUUCGCGCCUGAUUAGCUAGUUGGUGAGGUAACGGCCCACCAAGGCUCCGAUCAGUAGCCGGCCUGAGAGGGCGAACGGCCACACUGGAACUGAGACACGGUCCAGACUCCUACGGGUGGCUG